CAUAGCCUCAAGCGAUCCUCCCACCUCUGCUUCCCAAAAGUGCUGGGAUUACAGCUGUGAGCCUCCGCGCCUGCCACAGGCUUUAUUUCUUAUGCUCCUUCCUUUUUCCUGGAUGCCUUUCUAACUCUGUAUCUGGCACAUAAAGGUGCUCCGUAUGUGUUUGUUGAAUGAAUGAAUGAAUGAAUGAAUGAAUGAAUGAAUGAAUGAAUGAGCGAACAUGCCAUUUCACCUUAUGUAUCUUGUGAACCCGCCAGGCCCAGGCCUGAUGUCAUAGCCUCUACCCAUGGCCCGAGUCUCCACUCCCCUGCAUGUCUGCUGGCCACAGCGCGAACGCCGAGGCACCACCCUUCCCAACCCCAGCUCCGUCCCCUUCCCCGCCGGGGUACCCCUGUCCCUUUCCCCGCCGGCUUCCCAGUCCCGGGACCCACAGCCUCCAGCUCAGCCGGAGGUGUCCCCGCCCACAGCCAGGAUUGGAGGACGGAGGCAACGCCCACUCCUCCCGGCGGCCUCCUAUUGGCACGGCUGCCGCCAGGGGCGGGGACAGGGCCGGGCGCCAGCUGCUGCAGUCCAGGCCGGAAAAGGUCAGGCCAGUGGCGAGCGCGACACUGUCCGCGCGGCCCGGCGAAGGUGAGUGCGCCGCGGCAGGACGGGCGGGACGGGCGCGGAGGACGCCGAGAACCGGGCGCGCGCUCACGUCCGCGUCACUAACGGCUGCGCUCGGCCAAGCGCAAUGCCCUGAGCUCGUAGUCGGCCCGGCCCGGGGACCUUGCUGGCCAAGGAGGUCGUCAGUCAACCCUUGUCUUCCAGACCUGGAGGACCCAAGCUUCCGGACGACGAGGAACCGCCCAACAUGGCCUCGGAGGUCCCCCUGAGGACAGCCUGAGUUUACAAUCUCUAACACCAAGUGAGGAACACAUUGAUGAUGUCCAGCUCAUCCUGAGGACAGCCUGUUUUUAAGAUGCUCACCACAAUGCAAAGACGAAGAUGGUGAUGAUGAUGAUGUUGAUUGUGAUGUUGAUUGUGAUGAUGACGAUGAUGAUGAUGUCCAGACUUAACGCUGGAGAGUAUUAGUGAUGAAGAGACUCAUCCAGACCCCUGACCACCUAUGUGUCACCAGCACCCUCUUUGUUAGAGACUUUCAACAUCAUUGUACAGAAGGAAAUAUGAGAGAGGGUGAGAGGGAGCUCCCCGCUUGAAGAUACAAGGGAAGACAGCCCUACUUUCUUCCUGAAAUUUAUCCGCCAUCUCCCUUAAGGGUGAAGCCCUUCUAGGAGCUGACCAGGGUGCUGACCCAAAGGGCAGGCCAUCACAUGCUGCAGGGACAUCUGAGGGAGACUCAAGCUCUGCAGUCAGGCAUUUUCCCAGGCUUGGCGUAAAGAAGUGACGGAGACUCUCCUGUGAUUCCUAGGCUCCUCUCCUGGACAGCACCAGGAAUGUGCCUUCGAGGUGGCUGGGCUUCAGGCCAGCCUGAGGGCGUGCUUGGGUGACUGGAGAAUGCAGCUAUUCGCUGGGAAGAUCUUAAGGAGGAAACCAGAACCUCUCCUUCUCCUGAGCUCUCAUCCCUGGGGGAGCCUGUCAUCCUCAGUCAAAAGACGUAGUCAUCCUCAGUCAAAAGAACCUGCAUUGGGUUUCACCUUUUGCCUUCUUUCCUGCCACCCAGGGUGGGAGGGGGCAGACCUGACUGAGGAGAGUGACACCCAGCCACACCCCAUGGGUCAAUCACUGGAGCUUCUGAAACCUGGCUGGUGCCUGCUGCAGCUGGGUUCCUUCCUUACCCCAGCCCAAGUUCCUGCCCCCAGCUUUGUGCCUGGAGGUCUCAGUUCUGCUGUCUACAUUCUGAGGGGAACUCUUGGCCCCAGCAGACAGUAAAACUCCAAGGCCACCUCCCACCCACCCCCAGCACUGGGUUUGGCCUUUACCACCCAGGACCCGGUGCUCCUAGGCCUGGCAUUUCCCCUUUGCCAAGAGAGUGAGAAGAGAUGUAACUGUGCUCCAGGAACAAACAGUGCCAUUCCGACUUGAAAUAAAGAGACUGAGCGCAUU
Long non-coding RNA from Rhinopithecus roxellana (golden snub-nosed monkey), 2043 nucleotides. RefSeq lists it as uncharacterized. NCBI's taxonomy places the organism in Eukaryota, Metazoa, Chordata, Mammalia, Primates, Cercopithecidae. The record is from RefSeq and is a predicted model, not a curated record. The transcript has 6 exons.